This 130-nucleotide ribosomal RNA is filed under the name Propithecus coquereli (Coquerel's sifaka). The record is from RNAcentral. Lineage: Eukaryota; Metazoa; Chordata; Mammalia; Primates; Indriidae.
GUCUAUGGCCAUAACACCCUGAAUGUGCUUGAUCUCAUCUGAUCUCAGAAACUAAGCAGGGUCAGGCCUGGUUAGUACCUGGAUGGAAGAAUGAAUAAUAUUUGAUAGCACAAUAAAGUGCCUAUAAUUA